Molecule: ribosomal RNA, 407 nt
Filed under: uncultured bacterium
Lineage: Bacteria
Description: partial 16S ribosomal RNA
Rfam family: Bacterial small subunit ribosomal RNA
Source: RNAcentral
AUUGAACGCUGGCGGCAGGCCUAACACAUGCAAGUCGAACGGAGUGGCGGACGGGUGAGUAAUGUCUGGGAAACUGCCCGAUGGCGGGGGAUAACUACUGGAAACGGUAGCUAAUACCGCAUACUACCAGAUGAGCCUAGUUCGGAUUCGCUAGUUGGUGGGGGAAAGGCCUACCAAGGCGACGAUCCGUAACUGGUCUGAGGGGAUGAACAGUCACACUGGAACUGAGAAACGGCCCAGACUCCUACGGGAGGCAGCAGUGGGAAAUAUUGGACAAUGGGCGAAAGCCUGACCCAGCCAGGCCGCGUGUGUGAAGAAGGUCUUCGGAUUGUAAAGCACUUUAAGUUGGGAGGCGUUACCAACAGAAUAAGCACCGGCUAACUUCGUGCCAGCAGCCGCGGUAAUAC